AUGGUUUGACGAUAAAAAAACUGUCUUUCUUUACUGGCUUUUAAAUUAUCUUAAGAGUGAAGAGACUCUUUUGUUAUAGCGGGACGAGAAGACCCCGUUGAGCUUUAACGAGUAUUAUUAGUUUUAUAAUUACUGGUUUUAGUUGGGGCAACUAUUUCUCUUUAUUAAACAGAAAUAAAACUAUCUCGAAUUGAAUCAAUUAUGACCCCUAAUUAUUAGGAGAAAUAAAAUAAGUUACCACGGGGAUAACAGCGUAAUUUUUUUUGAGAGUUCUUAUUGACAAAAAAGUUUGCGACCUCGAUGUUGGAUCAUAGUCUCCUAGGGGUGCAGCAGCUCCUAAGGGUUGGUUUGUUCAACCAUUAAAACUAUACGUGAUCUGAGUUCAGACC
Molecule: ribosomal RNA, 389 nt
Filed under: Ophiothela mirabilis
Lineage: Eukaryota; Metazoa; Echinodermata; Ophiuroidea; Amphilepidida; Ophiotrichidae
Description: partial large subunit ribosomal RNA
Rfam family: Bacterial large subunit ribosomal RNA
Source: RNAcentral